Molecule: ribosomal RNA, 820 nt
Filed under: uncultured delta proteobacterium
Lineage: Bacteria; Deltaproteobacteria
Description: partial 16S ribosomal RNA
Rfam family: Bacterial small subunit ribosomal RNA
Source: RNAcentral
AGAGUUUGAUCCUGGCUCAGAACAAACGCUGGCGGCGUGCCUAAUACAUGCAAGUCGAACGUCGAAAGUUUUCGGAUGAGUAGAAGUGGCGUACGGGUGAGUAACACGUGGGUAAUCUGCCUUAAAGUGGGGAAUAACCAGUCGAAAGAUUGGCUAAUACCGCAUAAGACCACGAGAUCUGCGGAUUUUGAGGUUAAAGGAGCAAUUCGCUUUAAGAUGAGCCCGCGCGGGAUUAGCUAGUUGGUGAGGUAAUGGCUCACCAAGGCUACGAUCUCUAGCUGGUCUGAGAGGAUGAUCAGUCACACUGGAACUGAGACACGGUCCAGACUCCUACGGGAGGCAGCAGUAGGGAAUAUUGCGCAAUGGGGGAAACCCUGACGCAGCGACGCCGCGUGAGUGAUGAAGGACUUCGGUUCGUAAAGCUCUGUCGCAGGGGAAUAAAUACGAAUGUACCCUGUAAGAAAGGAUCGGCUAACUUCGUGCCAGCAGCCGCGGUAAGACGAGGGAUCCAAGCGUUGUUCGGAACCAUUGGCGUAAANAGGGUCUAGGUUGUUUGAUAAGUCAGAUGUGAAANCCCGGGUCAACCCGGAAGUGAUNUAUCUGCNAACUUNANUGUGGAAAAGCUUGUANAAUUCAGGUGUANGGUNAAACCNGAUUUUGGNNGAAUCCGUGCAAAGCGGNUANUUGCCAANCUGACCUUUACCCAAANUGGGNUUANCAGGAUUAANCCNGGNNCCCCCCCAAANANGGACUUGUUUUNNGGUUUCCCUUUNGGCAANNACGNNAAANCCNNGGNGACCNCCAAAAACNAAAUUNGGCC